RNAcentral lists this ribosomal RNA (457 nucleotides) under Streptococcus mitis. RNAcentral's name for it is "bacterial SSU rRNA". It matches the Rfam family "Bacterial small subunit ribosomal RNA", at positions 28 to 471 of the family's 1533-position model. Lineage: Bacteria; Bacillati; Bacillota; Bacilli; Lactobacillales; Streptococcaceae. The record is from RNAcentral.
GACGAACGCUGGCGGCGUGCCUAAUACAUGCAAGUAGAACGCUAAAGGAGGAGCUUGCUUCUCUGGAUGAGUUGCGAACGGGUGAGUAACGCGUAGGUAACCUGCCUGGUAGCGGGGGAUAACUAUUGGAAACGAUAGCUAAUACCGCAUAAUAGUAGUUGUUGCAUGACAACUGUUUGAAAGGUGCAAUUGCAUCACUACCAGAUGGACCUGCGUUGUAUUAGCUAGUUGGUGGGGUAACGGCUCACCAAGGCGACGAUACAUAGCCGACCUGAGAGGGUGAUCGGCCACACUGGGACUGAGACACGGCCCAGACUCCUACGGGAGGCAGCAGUAGGGAAUCUUCGGCAAUGGACGGAAGUCUGACCGAGCAACGCCGCGUGAGUGAAGAAGGUUUUCGGAUCGUAAAGCUCUGUUGUAAGAGAAGAACGAGUGUGAGAGUGGAAAGUUCACACUG